UGCGCGAUUGAAUGAGCCGAUGCCCGAUUAGCUAGUUGGCGGGGUAAGAGCCCACCAAGGCGACGAUCGGUAGCUGGUCUGAGAGGAUGAUCAGCCACACUGGAACUGAGACACGGUCCAGACUCCUACGGGAGGCAGCAGUGGGGAAUAUUGGACAAUGGGCGCAAGCCUGAUCCAGCCAUACCGCGUGGGUGAAGAAGGCCUUCGGGUUGUAAAGCCCUUUUGUUGGGAAAGAAAAGCAGUCGGUUAAUACCCGAUUGUUCUGACGGUACCCAAAGAAUAAGCACCGGCUAACUUCGUGCCAGCAGCCGCGGUAAUACGAAGGGUGCAAGCGUUACUCGGAAUUACUGGGCGUAAAGCGUGCGUAGGUGGUUGUUUAAGUCUGUCGUGAAAGCCCUGGGCUCAACCUGGGAAUUGCGAUGGAAACUGGGCGACUAGAGUGUGGCAGAGGGUAGUGGAAUUCCUGGUGUAGCAGUGAAAUGCGUAGAGAUCAGGAGGAACAUCCGUGGCGAAGGCGACUGCCUGGGCCAACACUGACACU
This 541-nucleotide ribosomal RNA is filed under the name Stenotrophomonas sp. DW112a3. RNAcentral describes it as "bacterial SSU rRNA". It matches the Rfam family "Bacterial small subunit ribosomal RNA", at positions 214 to 747 of the family's 1533-position model. Lineage: Bacteria; Pseudomonadati; Pseudomonadota; Gammaproteobacteria; Lysobacterales; Lysobacteraceae. The record is from RNAcentral.